UUUCUUUUUACUCUUUUUAAAAAAAGAUCAGACCUGAAAUCUCUCGCUUUUCUUCUAUAUUCGUCGUUUCCAACCCACGGAUAUGCACCUAUGCAUAAUUACAAUUCGAGCAGCGCCGCCGUCAGCAGCAUCAGCACCCGCAUCUCCAUCCUACCACCGCAGUCUCCUUCCAUAAUUUAUUCAACUGUUACACCUGGUUUGUAGUGUUCUAAUCCUCCCGAAGCUGUUGGGUUCGUUUAGUUUCAGUCGAAAACAUCGACUACGGACGAUUGUAAACCGGUGAUUUUGUGUUAACCGAGCUCAGUUCAGAAGAAGCUAUAGAGGAAAAAUCGAAUUCAUUCAGGUAUCAGUUGAUUACAUCGGUUAUUUUUGUAUAUUAUGUGUUAAUUCAUUACAUGGUUAUUUUUGUAUGUUAUGUGUUAAUCCAUGUAUUGUGUGUUAAUGAACUGAUUAGAUGUGAUUUCGUUUACUUAGGAUAUGAAGUUUAGGAAAUUCAGUGUCAAUUUGGAUUCUUAAUGACUUAAUCCGUGGUGGAUGUCAAGUAAUGAAACCCUAGAAUACAUGAUUAAUCCCUUUUGAUACUUACAUGAAAUCAAGAUCUAUAUAGUUUUUUUCUUGUGUUUUCAGGAAUCAUCAAGAUCUAUAUGGCUGGGAUUUUAGACAAGAGGAUUAUGUCCCUGUUGGUUCCUAGUGAUAAUAACAUUUGGUGGGUUUUCUACUUGUUUGUUGGUGUGAUCGAUUUUUCCCUUUUCAUGCUUGGUUUAGCUGCUCUUACAAAGUUCGUUGCCUUUUUGAUGAUCACUUCAUAAGUUCAUUGUUGGAGUACCAUUAUUGUUUUGUUUACCUUUGGUAGCUUUGUUUUAUCCUUAUAUUAUUUAUGCUUUUUAAUUUUGGUAAUUUUUUGUGCAGGGAUUCACUGAGCUAGGUUUUUGUUGGCUGAUCCAUAUUAAAAAUGACCCAACAUUAUAAUGUUUUGUGGAGGGGGGUUGCUUCUUGGUGAUAUUAAAAAUGAUCCAACAUUAUAGGGUGCGUUUGGUUGUGGAAGAUUUUUUAGUUUUCUAGGAAAAUUUUCCAAAAAAAACGGAAAUUUUGAAAAUUCGUUUGGUUGUUCAGUUUUCUAAAAUUUUUAGUUUACCAAAUUGUAUCUAAAUUAGAAAAGUGAUUUUAAUAGUUUUCCAAAAUUUUCAAGAUGGAAAAUGAAAACUCCCUCGGUUUCAACCAAACGCGUUUUCUAAAAUUUUCAUUGAAAAUUGAAAGCGAAAACUCAACUCUAUUUUCUGAAAACAUUUUUUUAGAAAAUGAAAACAGUUUUCUACAACCAAACGCACCCAUAAUGUUUUGUUUUCUUUUGUUCUUGCAGGUGUUAUACUUAGGUUGCAGUUUUAGUUUGGUUUUUACUUAGGCGUUGUUUGUUUUUUCUAGAGGCUAGAGGCAACAGGUCUGUAGUUUGCGAACUACAUCUGCAGACCUCUGUAAUAGAAAAGGUGAACCAAUUGUCGGGAUUUUGUAAGAAGAAAAUUGUUUGUUUUUUGAACGUGUGCAAACUGCUAAAAUAAACUGACAUUAAAUAUAUUGGUUUUUUAAAGUUAAAAGAGUUUUUAAUACUAAAAUUAAAAUAGUUCUAGGUUUAUAACUGAAA
RNAcentral lists this long non-coding RNA (1639 nucleotides) under Lactuca sativa (garden lettuce). RNAcentral's name for it is "long non-coding RNA (LSAT_LNC007315)". The record is from RNAcentral. Lineage: Eukaryota; Viridiplantae; Streptophyta; Magnoliopsida; Asterales; Asteraceae.